UACGUAGGGGGCUAGCGUUGUCCGGAAUCAUUGGGCGUAAAGCGCGUGUAGGCGGCUCGGUAAGUCCGUUCUGAAAGCCCAGGGCUCAACCCUGGGAUGCGGAUGGAUACUGUCGAGCUCGAGUCCGGAAGAGGCGAGUGGAAUUCCUGGUGUAGCGGUGGAAUGCGCAGAUAGUCAGGAGGAACACCAAUGGCGAAGGCAGCUCGCUGGGAC
RNAcentral lists this ribosomal RNA (213 nucleotides) under uncultured bacterium. Its description in RNAcentral is "partial 16S ribosomal RNA". It matches the Rfam family "Bacterial small subunit ribosomal RNA", at positions 524 to 735 of the family's 1533-position model. The record is from RNAcentral.